GAGAGAUGAAACGCAAGAACUGCUAAUUCGUGCACCUGAAGCUAAAACCUCAGAUCUCUCA
RNAcentral lists this transfer RNA (61 nucleotides) under Elgaria panamintina. RNAcentral describes it as "tRNA-Ser". The record is from RNAcentral. Lineage: Eukaryota; Metazoa; Chordata; Lepidosauria; Squamata; Anguidae.